RNAcentral lists this transfer RNA (86 nucleotides) under Virgisporangium aliadipatigenens. RNAcentral describes it as "tRNA-Ser". The record is from RNAcentral. Lineage: Bacteria; Bacillati; Actinomycetota; Actinomycetes; Micromonosporales; Micromonosporaceae.
GGAGGAGCCGGUCCGGCUACGGAGACGCCGUUGGAAUCGGCGUAGGCCCGCGAGGGCCUCGUGGGUUCGAAUCCCACCUCCUCCGC